RNAcentral lists this ribosomal RNA (253 nucleotides) under uncultured bacterium. RNAcentral describes it as "partial 16S ribosomal RNA". It matches the Rfam family "Bacterial small subunit ribosomal RNA", at positions 524 to 776 of the family's 1533-position model. The record is from RNAcentral.
UACGGAGGAGGCAAGCGUUAUCCUGAAUUAUUGGGCGUAAAGCGUCCGCAGGUGGCACCUCAAGUCUGCUGUCAAAGACCGGGGCUCAACCCCAGAAAGGCAGUGGAAACUGAAGUGCUAGAGUGCAGUAGGGGUAGAGGGAAUUCCCGGUGUAGCGGUGAAAUGCGUAGAGAUCGGGAAGAACAUCGGUGGCGAAAGCGCUCUGCUGGACUGCAACUGACACUCAGGGACGAAAGCUAGGGGAGCGAAUGGG